AACGUAGGUUCCGAGCGUUAUCCGGAUUUACUGGGCGUAAAGCGCGUUCAGGCGGUUUGGCAAGUCGGGCAUGAAAUCUCUCGGCUCAACCGGGAGAGGUUGUCCGAUACUGCUGGACUUGAGGGCAGUAGAGGGUGGUGGAAUUCCGGGUGUAGUGGUGAAAUGCGUAGAUAUCGGGAGGAACACCAGUGGCGAAGGCGACUACCUGGCCUGUUCUUGACGCUGAGGCGCGAAAGCUAGGGGAGCAAACGGG
This 253-nucleotide ribosomal RNA is filed under the name uncultured bacterium. RNAcentral's name for it is "partial 16S ribosomal RNA". It matches the Rfam family "Bacterial small subunit ribosomal RNA", at positions 524 to 776 of the family's 1533-position model. The record is from RNAcentral.